Molecule: ribosomal RNA, 255 nt
Filed under: uncultured bacterium
Lineage: Bacteria
Description: partial 16S ribosomal RNA
Source: RNAcentral
CUGCUGCCUCCCGUAGGAGUCUGGUCCGUGUCUCAGUACCAGUGUGGCCGUCCACCCUCUCAGGCCGGCUACUGAUCGCUGCCUUGGUGGGCCGUUACCCCGCCAACUAGCUAAUCAGACGCGGAUCCAUCGUAUACCACCGGAAUUUUUCACACUGCCCCAUGCGGAGCCGUGCGCUUAUGCGGUAUUAGCACCUAUUUCUAAGUGUUAUCCCCCGGUAUACGGCAGGUUAUCCACGCGUUACUCACCCGUCCG